This 253-nucleotide ribosomal RNA is filed under the name uncultured prokaryote. Its description in RNAcentral is "partial 16S ribosomal RNA". It matches the Rfam family "Bacterial small subunit ribosomal RNA", at positions 524 to 776 of the family's 1533-position model. The record is from RNAcentral.
UACGGAGGGUGCAAACGUUGCUCGGAAUUAUUGGGCGUAAAGCGUGCGUAGGCGGUCUCGCAAGUCGGGUGUGAAAGCCCUCGGCUCAACCGAGGAAGUGCAUUCGAAACUACGAGACUUGAGUACCGGAGGGGAUGACGGAAUUCCCGGUGUAGAGGUGAAAUUCGUAGAUAUCGGGAGGAACACCAGUGGCGAAGGCGGUCAUCUGGACGGAUACUGACGCUGAGGCACGAAAGCGUGGGGAGCAAACAGG